Molecule: ribosomal RNA, 468 nt
Filed under: uncultured bacterium
Lineage: Bacteria
Description: partial 16S ribosomal RNA
Rfam family: Bacterial small subunit ribosomal RNA
Source: RNAcentral
GACGAACGCUGGCGGUGUGCUUAACACAUGCAAGUCGAACGGUAAGGCCCUUUCGGGGGUACACGAGUGGCGAACGGGUGCGUAACACGUGAGUAACCUGCCCUCAUCUCUGGGAUAACAGUCGGAAAGGGUUGCUAAUACUGGUUAUGAGCUUGCCAGGCAUCUUGUGGGUUGGAAAGAUUUUUUUUGGUUGGGGAUGGACUCGCGGCCUAUCAGCUUGUUGGUGGGGUAGUGGCUCACCAAGGCUUCGACGGGUAGCCGGCCUGAGAGGGCGAACGGCCACAUUGGGACUGAGAUACGGCCCAAACUCCUACGGGAGGCAGCAGUGGGGAAUAUUGGACAAUGGACGGAAGUCUGAUGCAGCAACGCCGCGUGCGGGAUGACGGCCUUCGGGUUGUAAACCGCUUUCAAUUGUGACGAAGCUUUUUUGUGACGGUAGCAGUAGAAGAAGCACCGGCUAACUACGUG